UGGGGAAUCUUGCGCAAUGGGCGAAAGCCUGACGCAGCAACGCCGCGUGCGGGAAGAAGGCCUUCGGGUUGUAAACCGCUUUCAGCAGGAACGAAAAUGACGGUACCUGCAGAAGAAGGUGCGGCCAACUACGUG
Molecule: ribosomal RNA, 135 nt
Filed under: uncultured Mycobacterium sp.
Lineage: Bacteria; Bacillati; Actinomycetota; Actinomycetes; Mycobacteriales; Mycobacteriaceae
Description: partial 16S ribosomal RNA
Rfam family: Bacterial small subunit ribosomal RNA
Source: RNAcentral